AGAGUUUGAUCAUGGCUCAGGAUGAACGCUGGCGGCGUGCUUAACACAUGCAAGUCGAACGGGAAAUACUUCAUUGAGACUUCGGUGGAUUUGAUCUAUUUCUAGUGGCGGACGGGUGAGUAACGCGUGGGUAACCUGCCUUAUACAGGGGGAUAACAGUCAGAAAUGACUGCUAAUACCGCAUAAGCGCACAGAGCUGCAUGGCUCAGUGUGAAAAACUCCGGUGGUAUAAGAUGGACCCGCGUUGGAUUAGCUAGUUGGUGGGGUAACGGCCCACCAAGGCGACGAUCCAUAGCCGGCCUGAGAGGGUGAACGGCCACAUUGGGACUGAGACACGGCCCAGACUCCUACGGGAGGCAGCAGUGGGGAAUAUUGCACAAUGGGGGAAACCCUGAUGCAGCGACGCCGCGUGAAGGAAGAAGUAUCUCGGUAUGUAAACUUCUAUCAGCAGGGAAGAUAGUGACGGUACCUGACUAAGAAGCCCCGGCUAACUACGUGCCAGCAGCCGCGGUAAUACGUAGGGGGCAAGCGUUAUCCGGAUUUACUGGGUGUAAAGGGAGCGUAGACGGUGUGGCAAGUCUGAUGUGAAAGGCAUGGGCUCAACCUGUGGACUGCAUUGGAAACUGCCAUACUUGAGUGCCGGAGGGGUAAGCGGAAUUCCUAGUGUAGCGGUGAAAUGCUUAGAUAUCACGAAGAACUCCGAUUGCGAAGGCAGCUCACUGGAGCGCAACUGACGCUGAAGCUCGAAAGUGCGGGUAUCGAACAGGAUUAGAUACCCUGGUAGUCCGCACGGUAAACGAUGGAUGCCCGCUGUUGGUCUGAACAGGUCAGCGGCCAAGCGAAAGCAUUAAGCAUCCCACCUGGGGAGUACGCCGGCAACGGUGAAACUCAAAGGAAUUGACGGGGGCCCGCACAAGCGGAGGAACAUGUGGUUUAAUUCGAUGAUACGCGAGGAACCUUACCCGGGCUUGAAUUGCAGAGGAAGGAUUUGGAGACAAUGACGCCCUUCGGGGUCUCUGUGAAGGUGCUGCAUGGUUGUCGUCAGCUCGUGCCGUGAGGUGUCGGCCUAAGUGCCAUAACGGGCGCAACCCCUCUCCUUAGUUGCCAUCAGGUUAAGCUGGGCACUCUGGGGACACUGCCACCGUAAGGUGUGAGGAAGGUGGGGAUGACGUCAAAUCAGCACGGCCCUUACGUCCGGGGCUACACACGUGUUACAAUGGCAGGUACAGAGAGACGGUUGUACGUAAGUACGAUCAAAUCCUUAAAGCCUGUCUCAGUUCGGACUGGGGUCUGCAACCCGACCCCACGAAGCUGGAUUCGCUAGCAAUCGCGCAUCAGCCAUGGCGCGGUGAAUACGUUCCCGGGCCUUGUACACACCGCCCGUCAAGCCAUGAAAGCCGGGGGCGCCUAAAGUCCGUGACCGUAAGGAGCGGCCUAGGGCGAAACUGGUAAUUGGGGCUAAGUCGUAACAAGGUA
RNAcentral lists this ribosomal RNA (1476 nucleotides) under metagenome. RNAcentral's name for it is "bacterial SSU rRNA". It matches the Rfam family "Bacterial small subunit ribosomal RNA". The record is from RNAcentral.